GACGAACGCUGGCGGCGUGCUUAACACAUGCAAGUCGAACGGAUCACAUUGCUUCGGUUUUGUGGUGAGUGGCGAACGGGUGAGUAACACGUGAGUAACCUGCCCCCUUCUUUGGGAUAACGUCGGGAAAUCGGCGCUAAUACUGGAUAUUCUGGCUGCUUCGCAUGGGGUGGUUGGGAAAGGUUUUUCUGGUGGGGGAUGGGCUCGCGGCCUAUCAGCUUGUUGGUGGGGUGAUGGCCUACCAAGGCGGUGACGGGUAGCCGGCCUGAGAGGGUGUCCGGCCACACUGGGACUGAGACACGGCCCAGACUCCUACGGGAGGCAGCAGUGGGGAAUAUUGCACAAUGGGCGGAAGCCUGAUGCAGCGACGCCGCGUGAGGGAUGACGGCCUUCGGGUUGUAAACCUCUUUCAGUACAGAACAAGGCUCUUUCGGGGGUUGAGGGUAUGUGCAGAAGAAGCGCCGGCUAACUACGUGCCAGCAGCCGCGGUAAUACGUAGGGCGCAAGCGUUGUCCGGAAUUAUUGGGCGUAAAGAGCUCGUAGGCGGUUUGUCGCGUCUGCCGUGAAAUCCUGGGGCUUAACUCUGGGCGUGCGGUGGGUACGGGCAGACUAGAGUGCGGUAGGGGAGACUGGAAUUCCUGGUGUAGCGGUGGAAUGCGCAGAUAUCAGGAGGAACACCGGUGGCGAAGGCGGGUCUCUGGGCCGUUACUGACGCUGAGGAGCGAAAGCAUGGGGAGCGAACAGGAUUAGAUACCCUGGUAGUCCAUGCCGUAAACGUUGGGAACUAGGUGUGGGGUCCAUUCCACGGAUUCUGCGCCGUAGCUAACGCAUUAAGUUCCCCGCCUGGGGAGUACGGCCGCAAGGCUAAAACUCAAAGGAAUUGACGGGGGCCCGCACAAGCGGCGGAGCAUGCGGAUUAAUUCGAUGCAACGCGAAGAACCUUACCAAGGCUUGACAUGCACUAGAAGCAUCCAGAGAUGGGUGUGCCGUAAGGCUGGUGUACAGGUGGUGCAUGGUUGUCGUCAGCUCGUGUCGUGAGAUGUUGGGUUAAGUCCCGCAACGAGCGCAACCCUUGUCCUAUGUUGCCAGCGGGUUAUGCCGGGGACUCAUGGGAGACUGCCGGGGUCAACUCGGAGGAAGGUGGGGAUGACGUCAAAUCAUCAUGCCCCUUAUGUCUUGGGCUUCACGCAUGCUACAAUGGCCGGUACAGAGGGUUGCGAUCCCGUGAGGGGGAGCGAAUCCCAAAAAGCCGGUCUCAGUUCGGAUUGGGGUCUGCAACUCGACCCCAUGAAGUCGGAGUCGCUAGUAAUCGCAGAUCAGCAACGCUGCGGUGAAUACGUUCUCGGGCCUUGUACACACCGCCCGUCACGUCACGAAAGUCGGUAACACCCGAAGCCGGUGGCCUAACCUUUUUGGGGGGAGCCGUCGAAGGUGGGACUGGUGAUUGGGACG
This 1452-nucleotide ribosomal RNA is filed under the name uncultured bacterium. Its description in RNAcentral is "bacterial SSU rRNA". It matches the Rfam family "Bacterial small subunit ribosomal RNA". The record is from RNAcentral.